This 497-nucleotide ribosomal RNA is filed under the name uncultured bacterium. RNAcentral describes it as "partial 16S ribosomal RNA". It matches the Rfam family "Bacterial small subunit ribosomal RNA", at positions 28 to 507 of the family's 1533-position model. The record is from RNAcentral.
GACGAACGCUGGCGGCGUGCCUAAUACAUGCAAGUCGAGCGAUGAAGCUUGGUGCUUGCUCCAAUUUGGAGAGCAGCGGACGGGUGAGUAACGCGUGGGUAAUCUGCCUUUGAGCGGGGGACAACAUUUGGAAACGAAUGCUAAUACCGCAUAAUAUCUUUAAACAUAAGUUUCAAGUUUGAAAGAUGCUAUUGCUUCACUUAAAGAUGAUCCCGCGUUGUCUUAGCUAGUUGGUGAGGGAAAGGCUCUCCCAAGCGAAGAUACAUAGCCGACCUGAAAGGGGGAUCGGCAACAAUGGGACUGGGACACGGCCCAAAAUCCUACGGGAGGCAGCAGGAAGGGAUCCUCGGCAAUGGACGAAAGUCUGACCGAGCAACGCCGCGGGAGUGAAGGAGGUUUUCGGGUCGUAAAACUCUGGUGGUAGAGAAGAACGUUAGGGGGAGUGAAAAGCGCAUCAAGUGACGGUAACUACCCAGAAAGGGACGGCUAACUACGUG